Long non-coding RNA from Mustela putorius furo (domestic ferret), 2722 nucleotides. NCBI's taxonomy places the organism in Eukaryota, Metazoa, Chordata, Mammalia, Carnivora, Mustelidae. The record is from Ensembl.
GGCUGCAGUCCAGGGACCAGCUGAGCUGAAUUCUCAUGUGGAGAAUAGAGAAUUAACUAGAGAACUAACUAGAGAAUAAUCUUCUUCUAGGCUCACUCAAGUUAUUGGCAGAACUUAGUUCCUUAUGGUUGUAUGACGGAGAGCUGUGGCUUUUCAAUGACUCUCCACUGGAAGCUGCCCUUGGAUCCUCAAACCCUCCCAGUUCCAGCAGACCUCUCACACCAUGGCAGCUUGCUCUUCAAGCCGCCCGGCCGCCAUGUUCCACGCCAGCCCUCGCGCCCCAUCAGUCCCUGCACUGGACCACCUCUGGCUCCUUCACUUCUCCUUUGUGGCUCUUAUUCCAUGAAGCCAGCCUACGUCUCACAUGCAUCAGGCUGCUUUGACGGGGCAUCUCCAUCUUUCGUCUGUGACUAUUGGCUGGGUGAGUAUUUCCUUCUUUGUAAACGGAGAGCCUGUUGCACUUUGCAUGUGAAUCAUUUACCUUCCUGGCGGUUCAGACACUGUAAGCUCCGUGUCCGGUGGGGAUGGCCUGCCUGGUGUGAGGUUACCUUCUCAGACCUCUGCGCUCUGCCUGGCACAUGGCUAACAGUCCAUAAAUAUUGAGACUUCUAGCAUCACUGAAAAUGUUUACAUAUCCCUCAGUUGAUAAUAACAAUAAUAAAAAAAUGUAGAUAUAGCAAAUAUUCACUAUUUGCCAGGCUCAGGUCAGGGUCCCUAGAUGAUGACUACACAUGUGCCUGCUUUGAAACUGAGUAAGUUAUUAGUAGGUUUUUAUGUACUUUGGGGGUCUGUGUGUUAUUUUGUCACACUAAGAGUAUUGCAGUUAGAGUCCCUGGGUUCAUAUGCAAGUCACAUGUGGGUGUACACGUGUGAGUUUGUGUGUGUGUGUGCACAUACACAGAUAUACAUGAUGUGUGCAUAUAUACACCAUACAUAUAUUUUCUUGGUUUUUAUCCUACUCAUUCGCCCACAUGAACUUGCUUUGAAGCACCACUAAAGGCAUCUCCAAGGUGGCAAUCCAGAUCAAGAAGCCAGAAUCCAGUGGUUCCCACUAAUAAGAGAUAACACAGGAGUAAUUGGAAGGUAUGCCACAGAGUCGUACGACCCCUGCUAAUGUUUAAUCUGUGCAAAAUGUGUGGACAGGACUAUCGGUUUUGAAGUCUUCCUUCUGCGAAUUUCUCCAUGAACCACUCGCUGCUCACUUUCUUUCUCUUCAUUCUCUUAAGGACUCAGAUCCUACCACGGCUCACAUCUUUCCCAGUGGCUCCUGGACGUUAGGUAGAAGGCAAACCUUUCCAGAAUCCUUGCUUGCUUGCUUGCUUUCUUAAAAUAUUUUAUUUAUUUAUUUGACAGACAGAGAUCACAAGUAGGCAGAGGCAGGCAGAGAGAGAGAGAGAGAGAGAGAGAGAGACAGGGGGGAAGCAGGCUCCCUGCUGAGCAGAGAGCCCAAUGUGGGGCUCAAUCCCAGGACCCUGGGAUCAUGACCUGAGCCGAAGGCAGAGGCUUUAACCAGGCACUCCUUGCUUUCUGUACCGAUGCGCUCUGCAUGCUGAUACGUAUGUGGAUGUGUUUAUAAGGCGUAGGACAUCUCCCCUCCCAAACGGUUCCAUCUCAGUCAAUUAUGUCCAUCCCUGGGAGUGAGUUGCAGCAAGGCUCUGGGGAGUUGGUGCCCAAGUCUGACCUUAGGCUCAGUCUCUCAUCUGAACAUCAUUCUCUUUGGCGCAUGUCCAUCUUUUAAGUCUACGAUUAUUGGCUGGAUGAGUAUUUCCAUCGGGGCGACCUGUGAACCCCUCACCCCUUGUAUAUCAAAAAAAUAACGUCCCUUCUAGAUCAGUCCUCCCCUCACCUUCUUUUCACUCAGGCUUGGGAGUCCGUGAUUGUCCCUGAGUUUGCAUCCCGUCAGUCAGGGAGGCCUGCGGCUUCUCCCUCCUUCGAGCCCUCCUGUCUCUCCCCUCCAUUCUGGGGGCUCAGGUCUCCUUAUUUCUCACCUGAUGUUAGCCCCUGCCGGCGCCUCCCUCCUCCACUUCACCCUGGACAGGACUGCCAGGACUUCCUCCCACAACCAAGGGCUGAUUUUAUCUUUUCUCUGCUUAGAAGCUUUUACCAACUCCCAAAUGUUCCUAAUGGCAUUUGUUAUCUGCCUGAAACUACCUGUUUAAUCUUCUUCCUCCUUUUGCCCCUCCCUCCAUCUCUCUCUCCCUCCCUCCCACACACACACACACACACACACACACACACAGUUUUAGUCAAAAUGAGCCAUUCAUGGUUUCUCUAACGUAUCUCUAAGUUCCUUAACUCUGACCUUGCUCAUGUUGUUCUCGCCCUUAUACCUCAUCUGCCUCUUGAAAGCCCGCCCACCCUUCAAAUCCAACUAAAACGCCACAUAUCCUGGAUGACAACUAUUCCCACAUCCUACCUAAUCCCACUCUGUCUUGGGUUAAGUUGUCUUGGUCUCCUAACUAGAUGGUAGGCACUCGGAGACUACAGGCUGAGUUCUGUUCCCGGUAAUGGUUUUUAGAUGCAGACACUCCACACUCUUUGUAAACAUUUAUGAAACCGAGUUAAGUCGGUUUGUCUUAUGGAGGGACCUUGUUAGCAUGUGUAGCCCCUGAAAUAGUUUUUAUAAAAGUCUAGACCUCAUUUCAUUUUAAAAUUAACACCUGCAUUUUUUUCCCACAAAUUUCUUGCAAAGGAUGUAUCUUCUCUUGUAUGCGUGCUUUAA